CCGCCCCACCGCCUCCUCCAGGAAGCCUUCCCGGAAGGAGACCUGCCUGCAGGGACCCGAUGUUUGCUGUAGAAAAGCCCGGCCCUCUGGAUUCUUGGAAGCCAGGCGGCCAAGGGCAGCCAAGAGCGCACAAAGCACCCUGGCCACCUUCCUGGUGUGGUCGAGUCGCCGUCGUCCCCACGAGUCCUGGAAAGGAAGGCGCUCGCCGGCGUGCACGGGGGCUGAGCCUGCACUCCGAGCCUGGCCUUGCCUUGCUCUGCCUGCUGGGAACGCGGAUGACCCGCAUGUGAUUUAGAGGACCCUGAAGCAUCUAUGACCACACAUACAACUGGAGCUGACCCUCCUGGCUCUUCCCACCCUCCGACCCCCAGCCCACCACCUCCCUUUCUUCCUACUGUAAACCAAGCCUUGGAAUUUGGUGUCUGUCCAUCUCGUACCACGUUUUUGUUCCCCUGCUACAGGCACAUAUAACCAUCAACGCCUACAGCUCUGUGUGUUUUUAAAGUCUGUGAAUAAUAUCAAGCAGAAAGUCUUUUCAGAAGCUCCGCGCUGACUGGGAGGGGCUGGAAGUAGGCGUGUCCCAAAGGCUGGAGCCCACAGCACUGGCCUUUGGCAAAGCCACAGGUCCUUUUUGCUCCUUGCCACCCACCCUUCCUCCCCGCCCCAUACCCCCAGUCUCGAGAGCCCACUGGGCUUGCUGCUGGUCAGCUUGGCCUUGGUGGGGGAAGGGCCUCUCCAAGGGAGGGCUGGCUGGUUGGCCUAGGAGUGUGUGUCUGGGGAUGGGGGCAGCCUGGGUGUGAAGCACUGCCUUCAGCUGUACCAGGACCUCCAGGAUCCGUGGCUCUGUGUUAGACCCCAGCCUUAAAGUGGAGGUGGGCGGGACACACAGUUUUUGACAAAGGAGGUUAAUGGGGGCAGCGUUUACAUGCAAUAAAAUCACCUUUUAAAAAUGUA
Long non-coding RNA from Callithrix jacchus (white-tufted-ear marmoset), 954 nucleotides. RefSeq lists it as uncharacterized. Lineage: Eukaryota; Metazoa; Chordata; Mammalia; Primates; Cebidae. The record is from RefSeq and is a predicted model, not a curated record.